UGAAUACGAAAUGCUACGGCAUUGAAGUGAUCUAUGCCAGGCUUCCAAGAAAAUCUCGUCAUAUCUUAAGCAGUAGAUGCCUGUACCUUAAACCGACACAGGUAGGUAGGUAGAGUAUACCAAGGGGCGCGAGAUAACUCUCUCUAAGGAACUCGGCAAAAUAACCUCGUAACUUCGGAAGAAGAGGUACCCUUGAAAAAGGGUUGCAAUAACCAGACCCUGGCGACUGUUUACCAAAAACAUAGGUCUCCGCUAAUUCGUAAGAUCAAGUAUGGAGGCUGACGCCUGCCCAGUGCCGGAAGGUUAAAGAAGUUGGUCAAUCUUUGGAUGAAGCUGGCGACUGAAGCCCCGGUGAACGGCGGCCGUAACAAUAACGGUCCUAAGGUAGCGAAGUUCCUUGUCGGGUAAGUUCCGACCCGCACGAAAGGCGUAACGAUCAGGGUGCUGUCUCGGAGAGAGACUCGGCGAAAUAGACAUGUCUGUGAAGAUGCGGACUACCUGCACCUGGACAGAAAGACCCUAUGAAGCUUUACUGUAUCUUGGAAUUGGGUUUGGGCCUUGCUUGCGCAGGAUAGGUGGGAGGCUGUGAAGAUAUUCUUGCGGGAAUGUUGGAGCCAACGGUGAGAUACCACUCUAGUAAGGCUAAAAUUCUAACUCUGAACCGUUAUCCGGUCAGAGAACAGUUUCAGGUGGGCAGUUUGACUGGGGCGGUCGCCUCCUAAAAGGUAACGGAGGCGCGCAAAGGUUCCCUCAGGCCGGUUGGACAUCAGUCGUAGAGUGUAAAGGCAUAAGGGAGCUUGACUGCGAGACCCACAAGUCGAGCAGAGACGAAAGUCGGCCUUAGUGAUCCGACGGUUCCACGUGGAAGGGCCGUCGCUCAACGGAUAAAAGUUACUCUAAGGAUAACAGGCUGAUCUCCCCCAAGAGUUCACAUCGACGGGGAGGUUUGGCACCUCGAUGUCGGCUCAUCGCAUCCUGGGGCGGUAGUACGUCCCAAGGGUUGGGCUGUUCGCCCAUGAAAGCGGUACGCGAGCUGGGUUCAGAACGUCGUGAGACUGUUCGGUCCAUAUCCGGUGCAGGCGUUAGAGCAUUGAGAGGAGUCCCCCUUAGUACGAGAGGACCGGGGGGAAUACACCGCUGGUGUACCAGUUAUCGUGCCAACGGUAAACGCUGGGUAGCCAUGUGUAGCGCGGAUAACUGCUGAAAGCAUCUAAGUAGGAAGCCCACCUUAAGAUGAGUGCUCUCACCGCUAUAAGCGGGUAAGGUCACGGUAAGAACAACCGUUAUAUAGGCAUUAAGUAUACGUGCAGUAAUGCAUUUAGCUGAGAUGUACUAACAGACCGAGGGC
RNAcentral lists this ribosomal RNA (1348 nucleotides) under metagenome. RNAcentral's name for it is "bacterial LSU rRNA". It matches the Rfam family "Bacterial large subunit ribosomal RNA", at positions 1564 to 2925 of the family's 2925-position model. The record is from RNAcentral.